This 771-nucleotide ribosomal RNA is filed under the name uncultured bacterium. RNAcentral's name for it is "bacterial SSU rRNA". It matches the Rfam family "Bacterial small subunit ribosomal RNA", at positions 8 to 796 of the family's 1533-position model. The record is from RNAcentral.
AGAGUUUGAUCCUGGCUCAGGACGAACGCUGGCGGCGUGCUUAACACAUGCAAGUCGAACGGAAAGGCCCUUCGGGGUACUCGAGUGGCGAACGGGUGAGUAACACGUGGGUGAUCUGCCCUGCACUUUGGGAUAAGCCUGGGAAACUGGGUCUAAUACCGAAUAUGACCAUGCACUUCCUGGUGUGUGGUGGAAAGCUUUUGCGGUGUGGGAUGGGCCCGCGGCCUAUCAGCUUGUUGGUGGGGUAAUGGCCUACCAAGGCGACGACGGGUAGCCGGCCUGAGAGGGUGUCCGGCCACACUGGGACUGAGAUACGGCCCAGACUCCUACGGGAGGCAGCAGUGGGGAAUAUUGCACAAUGGGCGCAAGCCUGAUGCAGCGACGCCGCGUGAGGGAUGACGGCCUUCGGGUUGUAAACCUCUUUCAGCACAGACGAAGCGCAAGUGACGGUAUGUGCAGAAGAAGGACCGGCCAACUACGUGCCAGCAGCCGCGGUAAUACGUAGGGUCCGAGCGUUGUCCGGAAUUACUGGGCGUAAAGGGCUCGUAGGUGGUUUGUCGCGUUGUUCGUGAAAACUCACAGCUUAACUGUGGGCGUGCGGGCGAUACGGGCAGACUUGAGUACUGCAGGGGAGACUGGAAUUCCUAGUGUAGCGGUGGAAUGCGCAGAUAUCAGGAGGAACACCGGUGGCGAAGGCGGGUCUCUGGGCAGUAACUGACGCUGAGGAGCGAAAGCGUGGGGAGCGAACAGGAUUAGAUACCCUGGUAGUCC